This 466-nucleotide ribosomal RNA is filed under the name Vreelandella stevensii. RNAcentral's name for it is "partial 16S ribosomal RNA". It matches the Rfam family "Bacterial small subunit ribosomal RNA", at positions 338 to 795 of the family's 1533-position model. The record is from RNAcentral. Lineage: Bacteria; Pseudomonadati; Pseudomonadota; Gammaproteobacteria; Oceanospirillales; Halomonadaceae.
CCUACGGGAGGCAGCAGUGGGGAAUAUUGGACAAUGGGCGAAAGCCUGAUCCAGCCAUGCCGCGUGUGUGAAGAAGGCCUUCGGGUUGUAAAGCACUUUCAGUGGGGAAGAAAGCCUUGGGGCUAAUACCCUCGAGGAAGGACAUCACCCACAGAAGAAGCACCGGCUAACUCCGUGCCAGCAGCCGCGGUAAUACGGGAGGGUGCGAGCGUUAAUCGGAAUUACUGGGCGUAAAGCGCGCGUAGGCGGUCUGAUAAGCCGGUUGUGAAAGCCCCGGGCUCAACCUGGGAACGGCAUCCGGAACUGUCAGGCUAGAGUGCAGGAGAGGAAGGUAGAAUUCCCGGUGUAGCGGUGAAAUGCGUAGAGAUCGGGAGGAAUACCAGUGGCGAAGGCGGCCUUCUGGACUGACACUGACGCUGAGGUGCGAAAGCGUGGGUAGCAAACAGGAUUAGAUACCCGAGUAGUC